GGGGCGAGUGAUCGGUCAGCUAGUGCUGAGGCAGAGCUUCUGCAUGAACAAUAGAUGCCUUCAUUAUUGGAAGCACACACCAUGCAGUGGAGAGAACUACAAGAUAUUUCUUGCAGAUCCAUAAAUCUUCACCAGCUGAUGUCUCUUCCUGCACUCUGCCGGGGUGGUUUCAAGCAGAUACUACGGAUGGCAUCCUCAUAAAAAAAAAGAUAUUGGUGAGUUUAAACAACAGGCAUCUUACUGGGGAUGGUAAAUCCUAUUGCAGUUUCUGCUAGUCCCUCUAACCCAGGCUGCUGUGCCUGUUCCCUCUGGCUGACCACAGUGCUGUAGCUAGAGCUGUAUUUCUCCCCUU
Long non-coding RNA from Pezoporus occidentalis (night parrot), 352 nucleotides. RefSeq lists it as uncharacterized. The record is from RefSeq and is a predicted model, not a curated record. Lineage: Eukaryota; Metazoa; Chordata; Aves; Psittaciformes; Psittacidae. The transcript is spliced from 3 exons.